UACAGGUUUAAAAUUGCUAGCUGCAUCU
This 28-nucleotide small RNA is filed under the name Bombyx mori (domestic silkworm). RNAcentral's name for it is "piRNA piR-bmo-1698032". The record is from RNAcentral. Lineage: Eukaryota; Metazoa; Arthropoda; Insecta; Lepidoptera; Bombycidae.